This 1442-nucleotide ribosomal RNA is filed under the name Amblyjoppa sp. ZJUH_2016002. RNAcentral's name for it is "16S ribosomal RNA". Lineage: Eukaryota; Metazoa; Arthropoda; Insecta; Hymenoptera; Ichneumonidae. The record is from RNAcentral.
AUAUUUAAAAAUUUAUUUAUAUAUAUAUAUAUAUAUAUAUAUAUAUAUAUAUAUAUAUAUAUAUAUAUAUAUAUAUAUAUAUAUAUUAAUUUAUAAUUUUUUUUUAAUAAAAAAAAUAUUUUAAAUUAAUUAGUUUAAUUUAUAUAUAUAUAUAUAUAUAUAUAUAUAUAUAUAUAUAUAUAAUUAUUAUUUAAUAGUAUAAUUUUAAGAAUUAAAUUAAAUUUUUUUUUGUAUUGUAAAAGAUAAUUAAAUGUUUAAAAUAAAUAAAAUUAAAGAAAUAGAAAUUAUUUUUUUUUACCUUUUGUAUCAGGGUUAAUUAAAAUUAAAAUUUAAUUAAUAUUAUUAUCGAAUUAAUAAGAUUUAAUUUAAUAAUUUAUUUAAAAUAAUAAAUUUAUUAAUAAUAUUAAAUUGGGAGAGAAAAUUUAUUCGUUUAUUAAGAUAUCUAUUUAUUUAAUAAUUAAAUUUAAUUUAUUUUAAUUAAAUUUUAAUUAAUUUAUUUUAUAAUUAUUUUUUUAAUUAAAUAAAAAUUUUAGGGAUAAGCUUAAAAUUUAAAUUAUAAAUGAAAUUUAAAAUUAAAAUAAUAAUAUAAUUGAAAUUUUUUUUUAUUAAGAAAAUUUAAUAAUUUAUAAAUUAAUAAUAAAAAUUUGUUUAGGGUUUAAUUAAUUAUUAAAUUGAGAUUUAAAAUAAAUAUAAAUUUUAAAUAAUGAUUAAAUUAGUAUAAUAUUAAAUUUAAUGAAAUAUAUAUAUAUAUAUAUAAUUAAUUUGAAGAUAAAUUUAAGGAAUUAGACAAUUUUUUUUUGAAAAAAAAAAUUUAUUCACCUGUUUAAUAAAAACAUGUCUUUUUGAGAAUAAUUUAAAGUCCAAUCUGCUCAAUGAAAAAUUUAAAUAGCUGCGGUAUAUUAACCGUACAAAGGUAGCAUAAUCAAUAGUUUUUUAAUUUAAAGCUGGAAUAAAAGAUUUGAUGAAAUAAAUAUUGUCUCAAGUUUAGUAAUGUUAGAAUUUUUUUUUUAGUAAAAAUACUAAAUUGAAUUUAAAAGACGAGAAGACCCUAUAGAUUUUUAUAAUUAAUUUUUUUUUGUUAAAAAGUUAAUUGUUAGAUUGGGGAAAUUAUUAAAUUAAAAUAAUUUUAAUAAGUUUUAAACAAUAAUUAUUGAUUAUUUGAUCUUAAUUUAUAGAUUAAUAGAUUAAAAUACCUUAGGGAUAACAGCGUAAUUUUUUUGAAGAGAUCUUAUUGAUAAAAAAGUUUGCGACCUCGAUGUUGAAUUAAGAUAAAAUUUUAAUGAAGAAGUUAAAAAUUUUUAGUCUGUUCGACUAUUGAAAUCUUACAUGAUUUGAGUUUAGAUCGGUGUGAGCCAGAUCGGUUUUUAUCUUUAAUAAAAAAAAAUUAAUUUUGUACGAAAGGACUAAUUAAUUAAAAUAAUUUUUUAUUUAGAUUAAGUUUA